Long non-coding RNA from Drosophila pseudoobscura, 460 nucleotides. RefSeq lists it as uncharacterized. NCBI's taxonomy places the organism in Eukaryota, Metazoa, Arthropoda, Insecta, Diptera, Drosophilidae. The record is from RefSeq and is a predicted model, not a curated record. The transcript has 2 exons.
UCUCACAGUGCUCGUUUACCGUAUCGAUACAUUUUCUUUCCAGCGUUCAAUUUUUCAGAAUUUUUAUUAAAAUGGAAGCUUGUACAUUUUAUGGGCAACUUAUGGGCAAGCAGCAGAGGACUUGACCAGCGCGGAUGAUGCGGCCAUUUCGGACCGGCCCCAGAGGCUUACUUCGCAGGACAGAAAUUCCACGCCCAACGUCGUACCGUUUGGUAUCCCCCAGACCCCGGGCAAGGACUCGCAGCAGUGCAAACAGGAGGAGCAACAAAAUCUUCUGCAAAUUCAAAUUAUUUAAAGCGACUGACUGCAAAGUACGUUUUUCCAUUAAGGGUUAAUAUGCGAUCAGGUUUUUUUCCAUUAAGAAGUGUAAAGCUCUGCUAGACAUGACGCUUCGGAGAAGUGUUUUAAACGGCGAGUCGAAGCUAGAAUUCAAAUAAUUUUAAGCUGGAAUGAUUGAAAA